GGAGUUCCCCUUCGGGAGUAUAUUUUCAAAGCCAGCUUGUGGACUUGGCACAGUUGCUGCAUUAGUUUGCGAGCUUGGACCUGCUUCUUUAGUGUUUUUAUCGGUUUUGCAAAAGAAGUUGGACGAUGGGAGGAAUAAAGGAUGAAAUCACAGCUACUACUGCAAAAUUUUACGAGCUACUAUCGCAGGGAAAGAGCGAGGAAGCGUUGAGCUACUACACGGAUGACUGCAUUGAAAUGCCUUCAGGCGGCGAAACGUUAAAAGGCAAGGAUGCUAUAGGCAAGUAUUUUGAAGCAAUGGCUGCCUUCAGAGAUCAGAUGGGUAAGACUGAAAGGGAAGACGAGACGGUUUUGGAGAAGGCGAUCUGGUGACGUCAACAAGUAACGCAAAGGGUAUGGGAAAGAUGGCUCCUUGCUUCUAGAAACAAGGUCAAUGACGAUUUGGAAAAAAGUCGGCGGCAAAUAUUUAAUGCACAACAAAAUCUGGAAUGCAACAAAAUCUAUGUAGAACAGUCUGUAUUUGAGAAGCAAAUUGAGUUGUUUUCUGCAUAAUUUGUCAGAGCUGUUGGUAAAUUCUUAAAAAUAAAUUUGAGCAUGUCGCUAAGAGAAUAAAUUUUGAACGAUAA
Xenia sp. Carnegie-2017 is the source of this 625-nucleotide long non-coding RNA. RefSeq lists it as uncharacterized. The transcript has 5 exons. The record is from RefSeq and is a predicted model, not a curated record. NCBI's taxonomy places the organism in Eukaryota, Metazoa, Cnidaria, Anthozoa, Malacalcyonacea, Xeniidae.